RNAcentral lists this ribosomal RNA (494 nucleotides) under Pyropia leucosticta. Its description in RNAcentral is "SSU rRNA". It matches the Rfam family "Eukaryotic small subunit ribosomal RNA", at positions 527 to 1022 of the family's 1831-position model. Lineage: Eukaryota; Rhodophyta; Bangiophyceae; Bangiales; Bangiaceae. The record is from RNAcentral.
UUAAAUCCCUUAUCGAGGAUCCAUUGGAGGGCAAGUCUGGUGCCAGCAGCCGCGGUAAUUCCAGCUCCAAUAGCGUAUAUUAAAGUUGUUGCAGUUAAAACGCUCGUAGUCGGACCUCGGAGCGCCCCCACGGGCCGGGCUUUUGCCUUGUUGCCAGUGGGAGUUUGUCUCCUCUUGUCGGGACGCGGUGUGUGGGGACUUUACUGUCUCUGCGCGUUUACCUGCGGGCCGACCGUUUACUGUGAAGAAAGUAAAGUGUUCAAAGCAGGCCAUUGCCUUGAAUAUGUGAGCAUGGAAUAAUAGAAUAGGACUUGGGCUCUAUUUUGUUGGUUUCCAGUGACCAAGUAAUGAUUAAUAGGGACGGUUGGGGGCAUUCGUAUUUCAUUGUCAGAGGUGAAAUUCUUGGAUUGAUGGAAGACGUACAACUGCGAAAGCAWCUGCCAUGGAUGUUUUCAUUGAWCAAGAACGAAAGUUAGGGGAUCGAAGACGAUCAG